UUGUUAUAAUUUUUAAUGCAUGUAUUUAUGGUUUAUGAUAUACAACAAAUUUAAAUAGUUUGUAAUUAUUAAAAGUGGUCAAUAGAGUAGCUAAACUUGAUCCAUAAUUAGAUGAGUUCAAUUAAUGUGCCAGCCAACGCGGUUAUACUUUUCCGUCUAAUGCUGUAAUUUUAUCCUAGUAGUAAUUAUAGUUUGAUUGUUUAAAGUUAAAACUUCUCAUUACUAAACUUAUAUAGUUACCUAGAAAAGGAUUAGAGACCCUUGUAUAGAACUAAUACAUUUUAUUUAAAAGAAAGAUAAAUCACGAACUAGGCAGUCUAAUCUUACACAGAGGGGGAUGAUCUAUAAAUCGACAAUCCUCGUUAAUACUCCUAAUUGUAUGUCAUAUAUUGCCAUUUUACUCAUAACUUGAGUUAUUGAGAGAGGUAGGUCUAAAUGUGCUCUUUUUAGGUUUGUAUUGUCCUCAAUUUACUAUCUAUAGACUAGUCUUUAGUAUAAUUUGUAAGUAAUAUUUUCUUUAUAUAAGAAAGUGAAAUAAAAAGUUUCUUUUUGAACAGGUGCACUCACUGCCCGCUAAUGCCCGACAUAUUACGGGGUAUAAGGCGUAACAAGGUAGGUAUAGUAGAAACUGUACCUAGAUAA
This 642-nucleotide ribosomal RNA is filed under the name Salpa thompsoni. RNAcentral describes it as "small subunit ribosomal RNA". Lineage: Eukaryota; Metazoa; Chordata; Thaliacea; Salpida; Salpidae. The record is from RNAcentral.